This 54-nucleotide microRNA precursor is filed under the name Erinaceus europaeus (western European hedgehog). RNAcentral's name for it is "miRNA (ENSEEUG00000021232.1)". The record is from RNAcentral. Lineage: Eukaryota; Metazoa; Chordata; Mammalia; Eulipotyphla; Erinaceidae.
GGGGCAGGGCUGGGCUGGGCUGGGCAGGGCGGAGUGUGUACAGCCCGCUGGCUG